This 302-nucleotide ribosomal RNA is filed under the name Enterobacter cloacae. RNAcentral's name for it is "bacterial SSU rRNA". It matches the Rfam family "Bacterial small subunit ribosomal RNA", at positions 99 to 404 of the family's 1533-position model. Lineage: Bacteria; Pseudomonadati; Pseudomonadota; Gammaproteobacteria; Enterobacterales; Enterobacteriaceae. The record is from RNAcentral.
GGGACGGGUGAGUAAUGUCUGGGAAACUGCCUGAUGGAGGGGGAUAACUACUGGAAACGGUAGCUAAUACCGCAUAACGUCGCAAGACCAAAGAGGGGGACCUUCGGGCCUCUUGCCAUCAGAUGUGCCCAGAUGGGAUUAGCUAGUAGGUGGGGUAACGGCUCACCUAGGCGACGAUCCCUAGCUGGUCUGAGAGGAUGACCAGCCACACUGGAACUGAGACACGGUCCAGACUCCUACGGGAGGCAGCAGUGGGGAAUAUUGCACAAUGGGCGCAAGCCUGAUGCAGCCAUGCCGCGUGU